This is a non-coding RNA of Theobroma cacao (cacao), 361 nucleotides long. The record is from RefSeq and is a predicted model, not a curated record. Lineage: Eukaryota; Viridiplantae; Streptophyta; Magnoliopsida; Malvales; Malvaceae.
AGGGCCAUAUAGUAUACCUGUAUUUGAUGGGGAAAGAAACUCUGUUAGGGUGUUGGUUUGUAGCUAGGUAAGGUUUCCGAGGAAAGAAAAUGGCGUCUAACAAGGCUGGUGAUCAAUCUUCCAGCAUCUGUCUCAUUGUCAUAAGCCAGCGAAAUGGUCAGAUUUCCAGUUUGUUUUUUUCACUCCUUCGCAAGAAGCGUCAUUUGUAGGCAACUUCCUCUAGAUGGAAAUGAAGUGCAUGUCAAGAUCAGACGUGGCACGAAAAUAAAGAAGCUUUUGACUGCUUACUGCCGUCGUUAUUUUUUGACUUAUAACACCGUUCAAUUUUUGAUCGAUGGUUGUCCGUUUGCUGAUGAUAAGA